AGGUCACCGCUAUUGGAAUCCGACUAAGCCAUGCGAGUUUAAAGGAUUUCGGUCCUUGGCUGAUUGCUCAGUAACACGUGGAAAACCUGCCCUUAGGAGGGAGAUAAUCUCGGGAAACUGAGAAUAAUAUCCCAUAGGUUAUGGAUGCUGGAAUGCUCCAUAGCCGAAAGUUCUGACGCCUAAGGAUGGUUCUGCGGCCUAUCAGGUAGUAGUUGGGGUAACGGCCCAACUAGCCUACGACGGGUACGGGCCCUGAUAGGGGGAGCCCGGAGAUGAAUUCUGAGACACGAGUUCAGACCCUACGGGGUGCAGCAGGCGCGAAAACUCCGCAAUGCUCGAAAGAGCGACGGGGGGAUUCCAAGUGCCUACGUUAUGCGUGGGCUGUUUCUCUACCUAAAAAGUGGGGAGAGUAAGAGCUGGGUAAGACGGGUGCCAGCCGCCGCGGUAAUACCUGCGGCUCGAGUGGUGAUCGCUAUUAUUGGGCCUAAAGCGUCCGUAGCCGGUUUGGUAAAUGCUUGGGUAAAUCGUGCGGCUCAACCGCGCGAAAUUCCGAGUAGACUGCCAAACUUGGGACUGGGAGAAGUCGGAGGUAUUCCAUGGGUAGGAGUGAAAUCCUGUAAUCCUUGGAGGACCACCGGUAGCGAAGGCGUCCGACUAGAACGGAUCCGACGGUGAGGGACGAAACCCUGGGGAGCGAACCGGAUUAGAUACCCGGGUAGUCCAGGGCGUAAACGAUGUGGGCUUCGCAUUGAAGACCGUAUGGUUUUCAGUGCUGGAACGAAGGCGUUAAGCCCACCGCCUGGGAAGUACGGCCGCAAGGCUGAAACUUAAAGGAAUUGACGGGGGAGCACAGCAACGGGAGGAGCGUGCGGUUC
This 875-nucleotide ribosomal RNA is filed under the name uncultured Thermoplasmatales archaeon. RNAcentral describes it as "bacterial SSU rRNA". It matches the Rfam family "Archaeal small subunit ribosomal RNA", at positions 21 to 903 of the family's 1478-position model. The record is from RNAcentral. Lineage: Archaea; Methanobacteriati; Thermoplasmatota; Thermoplasmata; Thermoplasmatales.